Ictidomys tridecemlineatus (thirteen-lined ground squirrel) is the source of this 104-nucleotide small nuclear RNA. The record is from Ensembl. NCBI's taxonomy places the organism in Eukaryota, Metazoa, Chordata, Mammalia, Rodentia, Sciuridae.
GUGCUUGCUUUGGCAGCAUAUAUACUAAAAUUGGAACAAUACAGAGAUUAGCAUGGCCUCUGUGCGAGGAUGACAUGCAAAUUCAUGAAGAAUUCCAUAUUUUU